Molecule: long non-coding RNA, 326 nt
Organism: Thalassophryne amazonica
Lineage: Eukaryota; Metazoa; Chordata; Actinopteri; Batrachoidiformes; Batrachoididae
Exons: 3
Source: RefSeq, a predicted model, not a curated record
CACACACACGGUGGAAGCAAGUACAGGCAUUCCAAUGAUUUCUUUUCUGCCGACCCAGAAAGACCUCAAGAUGACAUUCAGUCUAUUUAAGUCUCAAGUCCAAACACAGCUUAUUAAAAAGUGUGGGGAAAUCCUGACCAAACAGAAUGAAGAGAAAACGCUUCCAAAGACUGAAUGCAAUGACUUUUGUGUGCUUAAACAUUUUACACCCACAGAUAUGACAUUUCCGUGCUCAUUUCACUGUUAAAAUCUCAGCCAUGAGGACACUCAGAUGAGUAUUAUGGCUUGCAUAAUGAAGUAAAUUCAGCUCUGAACAUUUUAGCCAU